CGUGCGGCAAAAACCACGAGACAGAACAAAACAAAACGAGCAGCGGGAGGGAGCGAGAAAUAAAAAACACACACAAAAGAAGACGAAAGAGAAAAAAAAACAAACACAAGAGAAGAGCACCGCGCCGCGCGUCCGCGCCCAUUUCCUUCUCCUCAUCGCCGGCCGUCCCCGAUGGCCUCCGCCGGCGGCGCCUUCCUCUCCGCCGCCGCCGCCGUUCUCCUCCUCGUCACCGUCUCCCUCCUCCCCCU
RNAcentral lists this long non-coding RNA (248 nucleotides) under Oryza brachyantha (malo sina). Its description in RNAcentral is "long non-coding RNA (OBRA_LNC000530)". Lineage: Eukaryota; Viridiplantae; Streptophyta; Magnoliopsida; Poales; Poaceae. The record is from RNAcentral.